GGAGAGAUCAAAGAAAAUAGCAUAGUGAAUAUGAACAAAUGUGCCGAAAAACAUUAAAUAAAACUUCGCUCUUGUGAAUUUGAUCUUUUGCUCUAAAUAUUUAUAGUUUGACAGACUACAUACAAAUGAACGUGUAUACUGCAAAUAUGACAAAUAUAUUUGCGGCGAAUUUGCAAGUGAUUUUCUGCUUGACCAUCGCUUUUUUUGCAAUAGGCGAAAUCAACAAACUGUCAGAUUUUCAAAACAAUAAACUGUCAUUUAUUUUUCAGUCUUCUAUUUUUUCAGUAAAUAAUGGAUUUCUGGCCGAAAUUUGAACAUUUCCUUGGAAAUCGCAUACCAAAAUUUUUAAUAAGUUUGCUGAAAACAAAUGGCUAUGAAAACGCCUUUUCAUUGAAAUUGUUAAAUUGUGAAACAGUUGAUUACUUAGAAAAAUAUGGUUUAAAUGACUCAGAAUAUUCAAAGAUUCACGAUAAACUAUUGCCUGGCCAUCGAACAUCUUUACUUGCUUUGCCGGAGUUAGUGCAAGAAUUCCAACUUUCCUGUUCAUUUGACGAAGCCACAAAAUCUAAUUCAGAGGAUUCGAGAUAUUCAUUUAUUCUGCAACAAUUAAUUAAAACGGCUGAGCAAAAUGCAGACAAAGACCCCAAGCAUCGCCGAUUUCCAGAGGAAAUUCAACAGUUUGCUAUAUUGCUAUACAUAAUGUGUGGUAAGGCUGCAUAUGAAAUUCUUUCAUGUAAUCUCCCUUUGCCGAAGGCCAACACAGUUUUGAGCUAUAUCAACAGAAAAAAAGAAUGAAUUACUGAAGGGGAGCUUCGAUGCAAAGAAUUGGCUACAUAUUUGGAUAAAGUAAAAGCACCAAAAACGGUAUGGCUUGCUGAAGACUCUUCCGGUAUUGUCCCGAAGGUCACUUAUGAUUCCGUGACAAACCAAAUGGUUGGUUUGGUAUUACCGAUUGACCCAGAAACGGGAAUUCCAAUCAAAUUUUUCUUCACUCCAAAAUCGGCACAAGACAUCGAAGAAUAUUUCAAAUUUCCAAAAUCGACAUUAGUGCAUAUUAUUAUGGCACAGCCUCUCAAGCCUGGCACUCCUCCAUUUAUUUUACAAAUUUUUGGAGUAGACAACAAGCACACGUCUCAGGAUAUUGCACGUCGUUGGGAAUUCACCAAAAAAGAGCUUGCGAAAUGUAACAUCAACGUUGCCGGUAUAUCGACGGAUUUGACGCACGCGCGCUUACAUGCAUGAAAUACAAUUUGAUCAAUAUGUCUAAAAGUGAAGACCCAUUAUCAAGUGCUACGAAUGAACAAGAAACAUCUUACGUACAGGAUCCAUCACAUUGUGUAACCAAAGCGAGAAACAGGAAUUUGAAACCCUCAAGCAUUCUUCCCAUGGGAUUAAAACAGGUGUCAGC
Sitodiplosis mosellana (orange wheat blossom midge) is the source of this 1408-nucleotide long non-coding RNA. RefSeq lists it as uncharacterized. The transcript is spliced from 3 exons. Lineage: Eukaryota; Metazoa; Arthropoda; Insecta; Diptera; Cecidomyiidae. The record is from RefSeq and is a predicted model, not a curated record.